RNAcentral lists this ribosomal RNA (332 nucleotides) under uncultured bacterium. RNAcentral's name for it is "bacterial SSU rRNA". It matches the Rfam family "Bacterial small subunit ribosomal RNA", at positions 568 to 898 of the family's 1533-position model. The record is from RNAcentral.
CGUGUAGGCGGCCUUUUAAGUCAGACGUGAAAUCCCUGGGCUUAACCCAGGAUCUGCGUUUGAAACUGGAGGGCUUGAGGACCGGAGAGGGUAGUGGAAUUCCCAGUGUAGCGGUGAAAUGCGUAGAUAUUGGGAGGAACACCAGUGGCGAAGGCGACUGCCUGGACGGCACCUGACGCUGAGGCGCGAAAGCCAGGGGAGCAAACGGGAUUAGAUACCCCGGUAGUCCUGGCCGUAAACGAUGGGUACUAGGUGUGGGAGGUAUCGACCCCUUCCGUGCCGCAGUUAACACAAUAAGUACCCCGCCUGGGGAGUACGGCCGCAAGGUUGAA